Molecule: ribosomal RNA, 477 nt
Filed under: uncultured bacterium
Lineage: Bacteria
Description: partial 16S ribosomal RNA
Rfam family: Bacterial small subunit ribosomal RNA
Source: RNAcentral
AUUGAACGCUGGCGGCAUGCCUUACACAUGCAAGUCGAACGGUAACAGGUUAAGCUGGCGAGUGGCGAACGGGUGAGUAAUACAUCGGAACGUGCCCAGUAGUGGGGGAUAGCCCGGCGAAAGCCGGAUUAAUACCGCAUACGACCUAAGGGUGAAAGGGGGGGAUCGCAAGACCUCUCGCUAUUGGAGCGGCCGAUGUCAGAUUAGCUAGUUGGUGGGGUAAAAGCUCACCAAGGCGACGAUCUGUAGCUGGUCUGAGAGGACGACCAGCCACACUGGGACUGAGACACGGCCCAGACUCCUACGGGAGGCAGCAGUGGGGAAUUUUGGACAAUGGGCGCAAGCCUGAUCCAGCCAUGCCGCGUGCGGGAAGAAGGCCUUCGGGUUGUAAACCGCUUUUGUCAGGGAAGAAAUCCUUUGGGUUAAUACCUCGGGGGGAUGACGGUACCUGAAGAAUAAGCACCGGCUAACUACGUG